CAGUAGCCGCGGGAAUACAGAGGUCUCAAGCGUUGUUCGGAUUCAUUGGGCGUAAAGGGAGCGUAGGCGGUCGGGUAAGUUGGAUGUGAAAUCCUGGGGCUCAACCUCAGAACUGCAUUCAAUACUGCUUGGCUAGAGUAUUGGAGAGGUGAGUGGAAUUCACGGUGUAGCAGUGAAAUGCGUAGAUAUCGUGAGGAAGACCAGCGGCGAAGGCGGCUCACUGGACAAUUACUGACGCUGAUGCUCGAAGGCUAGGGGAGCAAACGGGAUUAGAUACCCCCGUAGUCCCUGUCUCUUAUAC
This 301-nucleotide ribosomal RNA is filed under the name uncultured bacterium. Its description in RNAcentral is "partial 16S ribosomal RNA". It matches the Rfam family "Bacterial small subunit ribosomal RNA", at positions 509 to 807 of the family's 1533-position model. The record is from RNAcentral.